RNAcentral lists this ribosomal RNA (399 nucleotides) under uncultured bacterium. RNAcentral's name for it is "bacterial SSU rRNA". It matches the Rfam family "Bacterial small subunit ribosomal RNA", at positions 361 to 774 of the family's 1533-position model. The record is from RNAcentral.
AUAUUGCACAAUGGGGGAAACCCUGAUGCAGCGACGCCGCGUGAAGGAAGAAGUAUUUCGGUAUGUAAACUUCUAUCAGCAGGGAAGAAGAAAGUGACGGUACCUGACUAAGAAGCCCCGGCUAACUACGUGCCAGCAGCCGCGGUAAUACGUAGGGGGCAAGCGUUAUCCGGAUUUACUGGGUGUAAAGGGAGCGUAGACGGCGAAGCAAGUCUGGUGUGAAAACCCGGGGCUCAACCCCGGGCCUGCAUUGGAAACUGUUUUGCUCGAGUGCCGGAGAGGUAAGCGGAAUUCCUAGUGUAGCGGUGAAAUGCGUAGAUAUUAGGAGGAACACCAGUGGCGAAGGCGGCUUACUGGACGGUAACUGACGUUGAGGCUCGAAAGCGUGGGGAGCAAACA